CUCGUGUCGAUCUGAAGCAGUCAAUGUA
This 28-nucleotide non-coding RNA is filed under the name Bombyx mori (domestic silkworm). Lineage: Eukaryota; Metazoa; Arthropoda; Insecta; Lepidoptera; Bombycidae. The record is from RNAcentral.